Molecule: long non-coding RNA, 315 nt
Organism: Mauremys reevesii (Reeves's turtle)
Lineage: Eukaryota; Metazoa; Chordata; Testudines; Geoemydidae
Exons: 3
Source: RefSeq, a predicted model, not a curated record
CUUCAAUAGUCACUGGAUCAGGUCCUCAGUGGAAGGAGAUUAGGAAGGAAGAAUGACUGACUGUCAUUGGCUUUCAGUGGAAUCAUGCCUUGGGACUGAUAUUUUUUUCAACUCCCGGGAUGAGUUUAUUAUGGACCUGAUAAAUACGUGCGAGACAAAGCAGCAUAACAAUGUAAGAGCUGGAUCCUGUUCCCACCCAGAAAGGCUGGAUGUGUGAAGUCUUGGCUGGCCUGCCCUUGAAAAAGAUAAAGGUGGUGGCUUCCUUCCCAGUGUCCUUGAAGCUAGGAAAUGUGUCUGAUAUUGUUUUAGGGCUCA